This 717-nucleotide ribosomal RNA is filed under the name Kocuria sp. xt21. RNAcentral's name for it is "bacterial SSU rRNA". It matches the Rfam family "Bacterial small subunit ribosomal RNA", at positions 55 to 783 of the family's 1533-position model. The record is from RNAcentral. Lineage: Bacteria; Bacillati; Actinomycetota; Actinomycetes; Micrococcales; Micrococcaceae.
AUGCAAGUCGAACGAUGAUGCCCAGCUUGCUGGGCGGAUUAGUGGCGAACGGGUGAGUAAUACGUGAGUAACCUGCCCUUGACUCUGGGAUAAGCCUGGGAAACUGGGUCUAAUACUGGAUACUACCUCUUACCGCAUGGUGGGUGGUGGAAAGGGUUUUACUGGUUUUGGAUGGGCUCACGGCCUAUCAGCUUGUUGGUGGGGUAAUGGCUCACCAAGGCGACGACGGGUAGCCGGCCUGAGAGGGUGACCGGCCACACUGGGACUGAGACACGGCCCAGACUCCUACGGGAGGCAGCAGUGGGGAAUAUUGCACAAUGGGCGGAAGCCUGAUGCAGCGACGCCGCGUGAGGGAUGACGGCCUUCGGGUUGUAAACCUCUUUCAGUAGGGAAGAAGCGAGAGUGACGGUACCUGCAGAAGAAGCGCCGGCUAACUACGUGCCAGCAGCCGCGGUAAUACGUAGGGCGCAAGCGUUGUCCGGAAUUAUUGGGCGUAAAGAGCUCGUAGGCGGUUUGUCGCGUCUGCUGUGAAAGCCCGGGGCUCAACCCCGGGUCUGCAGUGGGUACGGGCAGACUAGAGUGCAGUAGGGGAGACUGGAAUUCCUGGUGUAGCGGUGAAAUGCGCAGAUAUCAGGAGGAACACCGAUGGCGAAGGCAGGUCUCUGGGCUGUUACUGACGCUGAGGAGCGAAAGCAUGGGGAGCGAACAGGAUUAGAU